CAUCAACUAAUCCAACUUCCACCUAACCUUAAAAUCAUUUCAGGGUUCUCUCCCACAAGUGUACAUGUAUCAGAUCUCUCUUUCCUCUCCCUCCCCUCCUACCUUCAACAAUUGUCGCCGCCUUUUCCGCCCUGCACCACCUCGACCUUCUCUCUUGCUCUCUCCCAUAAAGUCUGCUCGUCGUCUUCACCAUCUCAACCCCUCUCUUUACCACCCCACCACCGCCCUAAUCUGCUUGUCGUCGAUCUGUCGCCACCUGUCACACCCCAAUUCUUGAAACAAUAACUUUAACCGGGGUACGACUCAUCAUUCAAUAUGAACAAGGGAAAAACCUUGUGAAAUCCAAAUAAAAGGGAUAUCAAUCAGGCUUAGCCCCUUUGGAUGAAGAAAGACAGGUAUUCAAGUGAUACAAAUCUAUCAACAAACAUAAUAACUUCAGGAUCACAAGUUUAGUGUCAUGUUUCAGAUAACCAACAUUUAUAGGAUGAAAUACUUGCGAAUUAAUAGUCUUGGCUUAACAAAAGAUAUUGUUUAGAUUCACAACAUAAUAGGGCUUAAGUAAGGAAAACAAAAGACAGAUACUGGCUAAUUCUACAGCGGAAGUCAAAACACGGAGUUGAACCUUAGCCUCAGCUCGCCCCGUUAGCACCAGCCGCUAACCUGAAAAAUAUUUGAAAGUAUUUUUGGGCUAAGUACUAAUGUACUUAGUGGCUGCAACUUUUGAAACAUUUCAAUCUGAAGAACAGUUUAUCCAAUCAUACUUGACAUGACUUAGAAGGAUUUAAAGUGAAAGAACUUCUAAGCAUGUUAAAACAUUUCAUUCUAUAUUAUAUAUAUAUACACUUAAUUUUGCGCGCAGUUGUCACACUCAUUUCUGUUACUCGCUAUGAUCCCGGACAUUUUAGCCACCGACGGAUCCGUUUCUCCCAUUUACUUGAACUGAGGGCGUAACCCAGACAAGUUUACUUUUGACCUCGGGACGCUACCCAGACAGGCCCUUACAUUCUAUGCUUCGGAACACAUCCAGCAAGCAUCCUUAUAACGCCUCUUAGUUAGUGCCCGAAUGGAGAUCAACCCACCGAGUCAGCUAACGGUGUACACAAUUCCCAAAUAACGUGUUAGGCUAUAAGAGAACCUCAAUUGAUUCGUUGUGGCGAGCAUUAAACAGAGCAGAGUGCACAUAAACAUUUUAUUGGAUAAACAACUUAUAUUUUACGAACAUUUAAGCUCAUUAGCUCAAUCAUACAUUUGGAAAAUAAGCCCACCUGUUUAGGCAAAGCCUGUCGUUUAACCUUAUCUCUGAAUCGGAAUAGCAGUGCUAAUCCUCCUGACGUUCAAAGCCUACAAGAAAUCUAUUCUUAAUAGGUCUCUUAAAUCUAAACUCAAGUCACGGUAAAGUGCUUAUCAUUCUAUGAUUCACUUAGCCGGCUUUUCAAAAAUUAAUGAAUAAAUAAAUGAAAACAUUUCUCUUGAGUUAAGAACACCAACAAUAUUCUUACUCAUCUUUCUUUUGUAAUUGGAAUUAUAAAUAAAACCAAUUAAAACAUGAUGCAUGCAUGACUCAUUUCAUACUUAAGCAUAAAAAGUGUUUACUAAAAUAUGCACAAGUGUUCUACUCCGUUCUGUUCUGUUACGUUAACCAGCUCUGGUCUCUACCAGCUCUGCUAUCCCAGCUCUGCUCUACAGCUCGGGUUCCAGCUCUGGCAUUUAAGCUCUGCCUUUCAGCUCUGACUUUCAGCUCUGGCAUUUCAGCUCUGGCAUUCCAGCUCUGGUGUUUAGCUCUGGUGGUCAGCUCUGGCUUUCCAGCUCUGGCUUUUCAGCUCUGGCUUUUCCUCUCGUCUGCUCUGCUCUGCACUCAUCUCCUUGCUUCUACUCUGCACCCAUUCAAUACAACUCCCACGACUCUUUCUUUCUCAGCCCACCAAGUCAGUUCUCACCGAUCACCUCCUUGGCAACGGCGAAGCGCCGUCACCUCCCUCUGCUUCCGGCGACUACAGCAAGCCACGGCCGCUACCCUCACUCUCCUUUCCUCCCGAUCUCGACUGAUCCACAGCCAAACCCAACUCAAGAAUUCUACCUUUCUUCCUAUUCUUUUAACACAGACAAGUUCUAAAGCAAGCAUAUAAACAAGACUCUACAUUUCCCCUAUUCAUUUAACAGUUAUGAUGCUAAAAUAUAUAAACACACAAAGAUACAUGAACAUAUGAACAAAGGGCGAUGGAGUUCAUAGAUGAAACCUUGGCUUGAAUUUGCUGGAUGCUGGGUGAAUCGAGAGCUAUGGUUGCUGCUGUUCUUGGAGUUCUCUUCAGUGUUGGAAAGAGAGAGAUGAAGUGAGUGAAAUGAGAGAAAUAUCUUGGCUAUGGUUUGAGUGUUUGCGGAGGAGUUAAGGGAGGAGAGAGGGAAUAGUUAGGCGGCCGAGAGGUGAGUGAAAUAUCUUGAGGCAAAGAUGGGUUGGGCUUGAUUGUAAUGGAUUGGGCCGGUUCUCAUUCUUUCUUGAAAGCAAUUAAAAGCUUGAGGCCCAAACAAAAUUAAAUCCCAACUCAUGAAAUGCUUGAAUGCUUAAUUAAAUAAAUAUGCAAUGCAUAUAAAUUUAAUACUAAAUUUACAAAUGCUUUUGUAAAUCAUUUUUGUUGGAAUUAAAAUAAAUUCUUUUUCUCAAUCCGGCGUAAAUCAUCUUAAAUCUAAGUUCAAAAGUAUUCUAAACUUAGCUCGAGGAAACGGGGUAUUACACCACCACCACCCUCGUGCCCUCCACCACCCCAGAUUCUCGGUCACCACCGCGCUCGCGCCCUCGUACCCUCCAUCACCCCAGCUCCACUCGAUCUACCGCCUUCGCCACUGCCCCCAC
RNAcentral lists this long non-coding RNA (2848 nucleotides) under Salvia miltiorrhiza (redroot sage). Its description in RNAcentral is "long non-coding RNA (SMIL_LNC005005)". The record is from RNAcentral. Lineage: Eukaryota; Viridiplantae; Streptophyta; Magnoliopsida; Lamiales; Lamiaceae.